Molecule: long non-coding RNA, 1077 nt
Organism: Lynx canadensis (Canada lynx)
Lineage: Eukaryota; Metazoa; Chordata; Mammalia; Carnivora; Felidae
Exons: 4
Source: RefSeq, a predicted model, not a curated record
GAGUUCAAUAUUAUUUUCAAAGUAACAGAUAACUAAUUAGUUCCAUGUUUUCCCCUUGAAUAUCACCUUCUUGUUUCUUGUCAGUAGGAUGACUUUAUAAGUUGGGCCCACAAAACUAGACAAAAAAACAAUGACAGAUACUCAGAGGUCAAUCCAAUGACAUCUUUCUAUCCCUAAGAGUUGUGUGGUCUUACCAGUCAGGAAAAAUUCAAAAUGAAUGAAGGGUUCAUAAAGUUCAGUUUUUAAAGUUAGACAGGGAGAUAUUUAUACUUGAAGAAGGGCCAAAGAAAUUCAAAAUCCCAUCAAGUCAUAUAGCCAAUUACAUAGAAGUGGUCAACUUAAAGAAUUCUUUGAGUAGACAGAAAAAUUAGAUAAUUUGUGUUUCCAUUCUAAGAGUUGCAGCACACUUAAAAUCCUCUUCCUUCUUUAGGUCAUGACUUUCUUAGUAUAGCAGCUAUAAGCAGUGCUCAUUAAGUCCCAUCAAAGUUGAAGGCAAGAAUCCCAUCCUUGCCUAGUCCAAGGUCUUCUCAGAACAGAAGGAAACUGAACAAGCUGAGAAGAUGGCCGUAAAAAUGACAUAGGAUGGCUUUUUGUGAUAAGCAACAAUAAGAUGAUAUAUGGGAAAAUGCUUGGUAGACUAUGAAGCAUACCACCAAGAAUACCAUUUACUUGCCUGAAAGUUCCAUAUUGCAAUGAAGCAUCUUGUCACCGUGAGCCUACACCAAAUGUUAACAAUGUUUAUGAAGCGCUGGAGCACCACGCAUGAUUUUGUAUGGAGUUUGAGUAAGGUAUGCUCCCAGGAUGUGGGAAUGAAGAAAGUUGCUCAUCCAGGAUUCGUAGCAAUGGAAAGGCAAGAACUGAAAAUGUGACUACAGAGACAUGGUAAAGCUAACCUAGGUUUUAGGGGGGAAAGGAUGAUCAGCAUUCCUCCAAGAAUGUAGUAAUGUCUCAUCUCUCUCUCGCUCUCUUACUCUCUUUCUCUCUCCUCCACCCUCGCUCUCCCUCCCCACCUCUCAUACAUACAUACACACACACCAGGUUUGAUUUAAGGCCCAACCUUAAGCAUGCACAGUGUGA